RNAcentral lists this long non-coding RNA (390 nucleotides) under Coturnix japonica (Japanese quail). Its description in RNAcentral is "lncRNA (ENSCJPG00005005112.1)". The record is from RNAcentral. Lineage: Eukaryota; Metazoa; Chordata; Aves; Galliformes; Phasianidae.
ACAAAAAGCAAAAGUUGUCUCCUCUCCUUUAGGAAAUUUGCCUUUGUUGGUUAACACCUUUGAGGAGGAAGAAGCUAAGGAAGGGAGAGUUGGAUAUACCCAUUUUGCCAGUGCAACUGCUGCUACCAUUCCUUGUUUCUUGUUAGAUUGUGCCAAUGGGCCUCUACACUGCCCAUCCACCUCAUCUUUAAAACACAUAUGCGGUCAGAGAAUAUGAACUGUGCUCAGUAUGGGCCAUGUUCCAGCAGAUCAAUAUCAAAGACCAUUACAGUGCCUGAAAAGAAAAUCUCCCUACUAAGUAUGACCACCUCUAAAAAAGGACCGCUGACCUCCAAGUCUGAGAAUCACACCUACAGGAUAGCAGGAUGUGUCCAGAAUGAGGAGAGCUGA